RNAcentral lists this ribosomal RNA (386 nucleotides) under uncultured bacterium. RNAcentral's name for it is "bacterial SSU rRNA". It matches the Rfam family "Bacterial small subunit ribosomal RNA", at positions 28 to 417 of the family's 1533-position model. The record is from RNAcentral.
GACGAACGCUGGCGGCGUGCUUAACACAUGCAAGUCGAGCGGUAAGGCCCUUUCGGGGGUACACGAGCGGCGAACGGGUGAGUAACACGUGGGUGACCUGCCCUCAGCUCUGGGAUAAGCCUGGGAAACCGGGUCUAAUACCGGAUAUGACUCCAUGACGCAUGUUGUGGGUGGAAAGCCUUGUGCGGCUGAGGAUGGGCCCGCGGCCUAUCAGCUUGUUGGUGGGGUGAUGGCCUACCAAGGCGACGACGGGUAGCCGGCCUGAGAGGGCGACCGGCCACACUGGGACUGAGACACGGCCCAGACUCCUACGGGAGGCAGCAGUGGGGAAUCUUGCGCAAUGGGCGAAAGCCUGACGCAGCGACGCCGCGUGAGGAUGACGGCCU